Scophthalmus maximus (turbot) is the source of this 522-nucleotide long non-coding RNA. RefSeq lists it as uncharacterized. The record is from RefSeq and is a predicted model, not a curated record. Lineage: Eukaryota; Metazoa; Chordata; Actinopteri; Pleuronectiformes; Scophthalmidae. The transcript is spliced from 3 exons.
UAGAAGAAGUAGAAGAAGAAGAAGAAGAAGAAGGAAACGCUUGUUGUUGACGCGGAUUUUGACUCACAGCCUGUUUACAUACAGUCUGGCAGACGAGUUGCUGCACUGAACCAAAGAAGAAGAAAAAAGAGUUGCAGAACGACAUAGAAAGGGUAUACAACAACUUCCGGUCGCAGCAGACAGAGCAGUGGAGACGGCUACGGACACAAAGAGGUUGGAGACCACAGGAGGAGUGAACAUCGUGUGGCUCUUCCCCGCUGGCGUCAACUCCGGGAGGAGAAGAGGGCGACAGCUAGGUUGUCUGCCACGGACCAGAGCACUGAGACCAGGCGAUCCCCGUCCGCAGCGAGAGAAGCAGGUCAGCAGAGGACCAGGGCCACUUCCUAAAGAGUCGACAACAGCACAGCCUGACCCGUCUGCCGACAGACCUGCUUUGACACAAGAGCUAGGAAACCCUGUGCAGACAGUUCCUUCAUUGUUGUACAUAUGUUGUUUAUGCUAAUAUUCUAAUAUAUAUAUUGU